This 2921-nucleotide ribosomal RNA is filed under the name Staphylococcus aureus. RNAcentral describes it as "bacterial LSU rRNA". It matches the Rfam family "Bacterial large subunit ribosomal RNA". Lineage: Bacteria; Bacillati; Bacillota; Bacilli; Caryophanales; Staphylococcaceae. The record is from RNAcentral.
UUAAGUUAUUAAGGGCGCACGGUGGAUGCCUUGGCACUAGAAGCCGAUGAAGGACGUUACUAACGACGAUAUGCUUUGGGGAGCUGUAAGUAAGCUUUGAUCCAGAGAUUUCCGAAUGGGGAAACCCAGCAUGAGUUAUGUCAUGUUAUCGAUAUGUGAAUACAUAGCAUAUCAGAAGGCACACCCGGAGAACUGAAACAUCUUAGUACCCGGAGGAAGAGAAAGAAAAUUCGAUUCCCUUAGUAGCGGCGAGCGAAACGGGAAGAGCCCAAACCAACAAGCUUGCUUGUUGGGGUUGUAGGACACUCUAUACGGAGUUACAAAGGACGACAUUAGACGAAUCAUCUGGAAAGAUGAAUCAAAGAAGGUAAUAAUCCUGUAGUCGAAAAUGUUGUCUCUCUUGAGUGGAUCCUGAGUACGACGGAGCACGUGAAAUUCCGUCGGAAUCUGGGAGGACCAUCUCCUAAGGCUAAAUACUCUCUAGUGACCGAUAGUGAACCAGUACCGUGAGGGAAAGGUGAAAAGCACCCCGGAAGGGGAGUGAAAUAGAACCUGAAACCGUGUGCUUACAAGUAGUCAGAGCCCGUUAAUGGGUGAUGGCGUGCCUUUUGUAGAAUGAACCGGCGAGUUACGAUUUGAUGCAAGGUUAAGCAGUAAAUGUGGAGCCGUAGCGAAAGCGAGUCUGAAUAGGGCGUUUAGUAUUUGGUCGUAGACCCGAAACCAGGUGAUCUACCCUUGGUCAGGUUGAAGUUCAGGUAACACUGAAUGGAGGACCGAACCGACUUACGUUGAAAAGUGAGCGGAUGAACUGAGGGUAGCGGAGAAAUUCCAAUCGAACCUGGAGAUAGCUGGUUCUCUCCGAAAUAGCUUUAGGGCUAGCCUCAAGUGAUGAUUAUUGGAGGUAGAGCACUGUUUGGACGAGGGGCCCCUCUCGGGUUACCGAAUUCAGACAAACUCCGAAUGCCAAUUAAUUUAACUUGGGAGUCAGAACAUGGGUGAUAAGGUCCGUGUUCGAAAGGGAAACAGCCCAGACCACCAGCUAAGGUCCCAAAAUAUAUGUUAAGUGGAAAAGGAUGUGGCGUUGCCCAGACAACUAGGAUGUUGGCUUAGAAGCAGCCAUCAUUUAAAGAGUGCGUAAUAGCUCACUAGUCGAGUGACACUGCGCCGAAAAUGUACCGGGGCUAAACAUAUUACCGAAGCUGUGGAUUGUCCUUUGGACAAUGGUAGGAGAGCGUUCUAAGGGCGUUGAAGCAUGAUCGUAAGGACAUGUGGAGCGCUUAGAAGCGAGAAUGCCGGUGUGAGUAGCGAAAGACGGGUGAGAAUCCCGUCCACCGAUUGACUAAGGUUUCCAGAGGAAGGCUCGUCCGCUCUGGGUUAGUCGGGUCCUAAGCUGAGGCCGACAGGCGUAGGCGAUGGAUAACAGGUUGAUAUUCCUGUACCACCUAUAAUCGUUUUAAUCGAUGGGGGGACGCAGUAGGAUAGGCGAAGCGUGCGAUUGGAUUGCACGUCUAAGCAGUAAGGCUGAGUAUUAGGCAAAUCCGGUACUCGUUAAGGCUGAGCUGUGAUGGGGAGAAGACAUUGUGUCUUCGAGUCGUUGAUUUCACACUGCCGAGAAAAGCCUCUAGAUAGAAAAUAGGUGCCCGUACCGCAAACCGACACAGGUAGUCAAGAUGAGAAUUCUAAGGUGAGCGAGCGAACUCUCGUUAAGGAACUCGGCAAAAUGACCCCGUAACUUCGGGAGAAGGGGUGCUCUUUAGGGUUAACGCCCAGAAGAGCCGCAGUGAAUAGGCCCAAGCGACUGUUUAUCAAAAACACAGGUCUCUGCUAAACCGUAAGGUGAUGUAUAGGGGCUGACGCCUGCCCGGUGCUGGAAGGUUAAGAGGAGUGGUUAGCUUCUGCGAAGCUACGAAUCGAAGCCCCAGUAAACGGCGGCCGUAACUAUAACGGUCCUAAGGUAGCGAAAUUCCUUGUCGGGUAAGUUCCGACCCGCACGAAAGGCGUAACGAUUUGGGCACUGUCUCAACGAGAGACUCGGUGAAAUCAUAGUACCUGUGAAGAUGCAGGUUACCCGCGACAGGACGGAAAGACCCCGUGGAGCUUUACUGUAGCCUGAUAUUGAAAUUCGGCACAGCUUGUACAGGAUAGGUAGGAGCCUUUGAAACGUGAGCGCUAGCUUACGUGGAGGCGCUGGUGGGAUACUACCCUAGCUGUGUUGGCUUUCUAACCCGCACCACUUAUCGUGGUGGGAGACAGUGUCAGGCGGGCAGUUUGACUGGGGCGGUCGCCUCCUAAAAGGUAACGGAGGCGCUCAAAGGUUCCCUCAGAAUGGUUGGAAAUCAUUCAUAGAGUGUAAAGGCAUAAGGGAGCUUGACUGCGAGACCUACAAGUCGAGCAGGGUCGAAAGACGGACUUAGUGAUCCGGUGGUUCCGCAUGGAAGGGCCAUCGCUCAACGGAUAAAAGCUACCCCGGGGAUAACAGGCUUAUCUCCCCCAAGAGUUCACAUCGACGGGGAGGUUUGGCACCUCGAUGUCGGCUCAUCGCAUCCUGGGGCUGUAGUCGGUCCCAAGGGUUGGGCUGUUCGCCCAUUAAAGCGGUACGCGAGCUGGGUUCAGAACGUCGUGAGACAGUUCGGUCCCUAUCCGUCGUGGGCGUAGGAAAUUUGAGAGGAGCUGUCCUUAGUACGAGAGGACCGGGAUGGACAUACCUCUGGUGUACCAGUUGUCGUGCCAACGGCAUAGCUGGGUAGCUAUGUGUGGACGGGAUAAGUGCUGAAAGCAUCUAAGCAUGAAGCCCCCCUCAAGAUGAGAUUUCCCAACUUCGGUUAUAAGAUCCCUCAAAGAUGAUGAGGUUAAUAGGUUCGAGGUGGAAGCAUGGUGACAUGUGGAGCUGACGAAUACUAAUCGAUCGAAGACUUAAUCAA